CUCCUGAACCCCUGAAGCGAUCGCUAUCCACUACCUGACAGUCUGCCUGAAGCCUCUACUCCUACUCCUGUCAGCACGUCACCUCUACUGCUUUGUGUCUUCUGCCAAACAAUUAAAGCCACACAAUGCUUUCUGUUUAUCCACAAAGCCUUUUAAAGGCCCUAAAACCCAGGCUAUAUCGGAAUCACACUCCUGAUGGGACUUCUGUAACUUUUCGACCAUCCGAUCAUGCCUC
RNAcentral lists this long non-coding RNA (235 nucleotides) under Elaeis guineensis (African oil palm). RNAcentral describes it as "long non-coding RNA (EGUI_LNC028526)". The record is from RNAcentral. Lineage: Eukaryota; Viridiplantae; Streptophyta; Magnoliopsida; Arecales; Arecaceae.